RNAcentral lists this ribosomal RNA (1434 nucleotides) under uncultured organism. RNAcentral's name for it is "partial small subunit ribosomal RNA". It matches the Rfam family "Bacterial small subunit ribosomal RNA". The record is from RNAcentral.
GCUUAACACAUGCAAGUCGAACGGAAAGGCCCUGCUUUUGUGGGGUGCUCGAGUGGCGAACGGGUGAGUAACACGUGAGUAACCUGCCCUUGACUUUGGGAUAACUUCAGGAAACUGGGGCUAAUACCGGAUAGGAGCUCCUGCUGCAUGGUGGGGGUUGGAAAGUUUCGGCGGUUGGGGAUGGACUCGCGGCUUAUCAGCUUGUUGGUGGGGUAGUGGCUUACCAAGGCUUUGACGGGUAGCCGGCCUGAGAGGGUGACCGGCCACAUUGGGACUGAGAUACGGCCCAGACUCCUACGGGAGGCAGCAGUGGGGAAUAUUGCACAAUGGGCGGAAGCCUGAUGCAGCAACGCCGCGUGCGGGAUGACGGCCUUCGGGUUGUAAACCGCUUUCGCCUGUGACGAAGCGUGAGUGACGGUAAUGGGUAAAGAAGCACCGGCUAACUACGUGCCAGCAGCCGCGGUGAUACGUAGGGUGCGAGCGUUGUCCGGAUUUAUUGGGCGUAAAGGGCUCGUAGGUGGUUGAUCGCGUCGGAAGUGUAAUCUUGGGGCUUAACCCUGAGCGUGCUUUCGAUACGGGUUGACUUGAGGAAGGUAGGGGAGAAUGGAAUUCCUGGUGGAGCGGUGGAAUGCGCAGAUAUCACGAGGAACACCAAUGGCGAAGGCGGUUCUCUGGGCCUUUCCUGACGCUGAGGAGCGAAAGCGUGGGGAGCGAACAGGCUUAGAUACCCUGGUAGUCCACGCUGUAAACGGUGGGUACUAGGUGUGGGGUCCAUUCCACGGGUUCCGUGCCGUAGCUAACGCUUUAAGUACCCCGCCUGGGGAGUACGGCCGCAAGGCUAAAACUCAAAGGAAUUGACGGGGCCCCGCACAAGCGGCGGAGCAUGCGGAUUAAUUCGAUGCAACGCGUAGAACCUUACCUGGGUUUGACAUGGAUCGGGAGUGCUCAGAGAUGGGUGUGCCUCUUUUGGGGUCGGUUCACAGGUGGUGCAUGGCUGUCGUCAGCUCGUGUCGUGAGAUGUUGGGUUAAGUCCCGCAACGAGCGCAACCCUUGUUCACUGUUGCCAGCACGUUAUGGUGGGGACUCAGUGGAGACCGCCGGGGUCAACUCGGAGGAAGGUGGGGAUGACGUCAAGUCAUCAUGCCCCUUAUGUCCAGGGCUUCACGCAUGCUACAAUGGCUGGUACAGAGAGUGGCGAGCCUGUGAGGGUGAGCGAAUCUCGGAAAGCCGGUCUCAGUUCGGAUUGGGGUCUGCAACUCGACCUCAUGAAGUCGGAGUCGCUAGUAAUCGCAGAUCAGCAACGCUGCGGUGAAUACGUUCCCGGGGCUUGUACACACCGCCCGUCAAGUCAUGAAAGUUGGUAACACCCGAAGCCGGUGGCCUAACCGUUGUGGGGGAGCCGUCGAAGGUGGGACUGGUGAUUAGGACUAAGAC